UACGUAGGUGGCAAGCGUUGUCCGGAAUUAUUGGGCGUAAAGCGCGCGCAGGUGGUUUCUUAAGUCUGAUGUGAAAGCCCCCGGCUCAACCGGGGAGGGUCAUUGGAAACUGGGAGACUUGAGUGCAGAAGAGAAGAGUGGAAUUCCACGUGUAGCGGUGAAAUGCGUAGAGAUGUGGAGGAACACCAGUGGCGAAGGCGACUCUUUGGUCUGUAACUGACGCUGAGGCGCGAAAGCGUGGGGAGCAAACAGG
Molecule: ribosomal RNA, 253 nt
Filed under: uncultured bacterium
Lineage: Bacteria
Description: partial 16S ribosomal RNA
Rfam family: Bacterial small subunit ribosomal RNA
Source: RNAcentral